GAUUUCCGUCAACUGUACAUGCUGUUUAUUCACCUUUGUAGUAUAAAUAUGAGGGAGCUCCAUUCAGAUACUUCAAAAUGACUCUGAAAAACGGUUUAGUUUUGAUAGUUGCUUUACUAUGCUUGGGAGUAUUUCUGGGCUUUGGCGUUGAAGAAUCGGAAGCAUUAUACCCGCCAGCAUGGCCUCGUCCACCGUGUGGUUGCAUGUGUUUUACAACACCAUGUCCUUGUCUACCAAUGGACCAUCCCCUGUGUAGAUACCAAAUAGGUUAACGUUAAUGUUCUCUCAGGAACGCAUUUACGACCAUGAGAUGAAAAUGCAGAUUACUAGUAUAAGUGCAGUUAAAAAACACGAGAAAUGAUUUAAAAUGCAUAUAAAAAUCAUCG
Molecule: long non-coding RNA, 386 nt
Organism: Magallana angulata
Lineage: Eukaryota; Metazoa; Mollusca; Bivalvia; Ostreida; Ostreidae
Exons: 3
Source: RefSeq, a predicted model, not a curated record